AGUUCAAUUAAAGCGCCUGUACAAGUGAAGAGGUUAUGUGUUUGUAAUUUAAGGUUUAUAACAGAAAUCUUAAUAGACACGAUAAUCGAAGUUUGUAGACGAGGAGGGUAGUUAUCGAACCAUCGGCGGAUGCUAUCCCGGAUGUGGCUCAUUCGUUAACUUAUUAAGGAAAACAUUAGGGUAACCUGGUGCACAAAGUUAAUAAGAUAGCCAAAA
Staphylococcus saprophyticus is the source of this 216-nucleotide regulatory RNA element. It matches the Rfam family "glmS glucosamine-6-phosphate activated ribozyme aptamer". Rfam says of the family: This entry contains a glucosamine-6-phosphate activated ribozyme that is found in the mRNA for GlmS. The record is from Rfam. Lineage: Bacteria; Bacillati; Bacillota; Bacilli; Caryophanales; Staphylococcaceae.